GCAUGAACGCUAGCGGCAGGCUUAACACAUGCAAGUCGAGGGGUAUAGGUUUUCGGACCUAGAGACCGGCGCACGGGUGCGUAACGCGUAUGCAAUCUACCUUUCACAGAGGGAUAGCCCAGAGAAAUUUGGAUUAAUACCUCAUAGUAUAGCAGUUUCGCAUGAAACCACUAUUAAAGUCACAACGGUGAAAGAUGAGCAUGCGUCCCAUUAGCUAGAUGGUAAGGUAACGGCUUACCAUGGCAACGAUGGGUAGGGGUCCUGAGAGGGAGAUCCCCCACACUGGUACUGAGACACGGACCAGACUCCUACGGGAGGCAGCAGUGAGGAAUAUUGGACAAUGGGCGCAAGCCUGAUCCAGCCAUGCCGCGUGCAGGAUGACGGUCCUAUGGAUUGUAAACUGCUUUUGUACAGGAAGAAACACUCCCUCGUGAGGGAGCUUGACGGUACUGUAAGAAUAAGGAUCGGCUAACUCCGUGC
This 480-nucleotide ribosomal RNA is filed under the name uncultured bacterium. Its description in RNAcentral is "bacterial SSU rRNA". It matches the Rfam family "Bacterial small subunit ribosomal RNA", at positions 27 to 508 of the family's 1533-position model. The record is from RNAcentral.